This is an RNA transcript of Oncorhynchus kisutch (coho salmon), 2979 nucleotides long. It is a transcript of the gene named nucleolar MIF4G domain-containing protein 1, with no coding region annotated. The transcript has 6 exons. The record is from RefSeq and is a predicted model, not a curated record. NCBI's taxonomy places the organism in Eukaryota, Metazoa, Chordata, Actinopteri, Salmoniformes, Salmonidae.
UGUUGUGUUUCCUGAGUCGUUUGUCAACCAAAAUGUCUUGCCUCAUGAAGACUGGAUACAUGUGUCUAAUUAAGAUAGUUUUGUUCAACUAUUUCAAGUGUUUCGAAGUAACCACGGUAGGGGUUAUUUCACUUAAGUAGCCUUUUGCUUCAUAGACGAGUUUUUUUUUUGCUUCAUACACGGGCAUGUUUGUUUCUUGCCAAGCUUGAAACUCGUAGACACAUCGAAAGGAAUGUAAUUAUAAAAGUCAGUGUCUUUCAUCAAGUAACAAUAAGAUCAUAGUUAAAUAGUUAACGAUAGUCAUCUCUGUUGCAAAGUUGAAAGCCAAGAGGGAAGGAAAGACACAGGAAAAUUGCAAAAGUAUAUGGUGACAGUUAACGACUUUGUAAAGAGUAAGGUAGGCUGUGAUGAAACGGAAGAUGGAUGUAGUUUGAGAUUUGUUAAGUAGAAAAGUAGAAGUCAUGCAUAAGGAGAAAAGAAAGAUACAAAAGACAAAGUAAGAAUCGCUAUGAAGGCUAACGUUACAAGGCUCUCCACGCAUCCACUGUUGACAGUGAGGAAGUUGCAACCCCAUCUGAUAAACAACAAACAAAGGUGAGCCAGCAGCUCAACAGUCCAAGUCAACUCCUGUUGAGACUGCAGUUGAGAGAAGGCUGAGAAAACAGGACCUAAGAAACCGUCUAAGAAAGCACAGCAAAGAAACAGACUCGAGGAAUCAAGAAAAAAAGCAAUUUUGGAAGCAAAUGAUGCCGAGGACCGAGAAACUACGAGAUUGGAGGGAUCUCUUGGGUAUAACAAGUGGGGAAACAAUUUGCUGAUGAUGGACUUGAUUACAUUUUGGGUGUACUGGAAGCUGGGUCGGCAGCUUCAGGGAUGAUGUAUGACAGUGAUGACGACAUGGACAUUGCCAAAAAGAAUUUCAGGAAAUUGGAAGACAGUGAAUCUGAAAUGUCCACCAAGGAGGAGGAAGAACAAGGACAAGACUCUGAAGAGGAGGGCAGCGAACUAGACAGUGACGGAGAUCUGGAUGCCAAUGUGGCGGAAGGCAAGUAUGUGGAGGAAGAUGAGAUUGAUGAGGACGGAGAAGGAAUGGAUGAGAGUGGUGGAGCAGGUUCGGAAGAAGAACAUUAAGAGGAAGAGGAAUGAGUUGAGACUCAAAGCUUGCAGGGCCUAAGGCAGAAACUGCAGCCCUAUCAGCAGGCAAAUAUGUGCCUCCUCACCUUACGGGACACCGGGGAUGAUAAGCGCAAAGCUGAGCUAGAGAGACUGAAGAGACAAGUCAAAUGACUUGUGUACCGGUGGGGGCUAAUUUCUUGGAGAGAGUGGUGUGGAAGUUUGACGGAAGAGCCCGGUGGCCAUGGUGGCACAUCUCUACAACUUCCAGGUGGUGCACGCCCUCCUCACCUUUGACAUCCUGAAGAUGCUGGUUGGGGCUUUCACCGAAAAAGGACAUUGAGCUGGUUCUGUUCAUGCUGAAAAAUGUAGGCUUCACCCUGCGGUAGGAUGAUGCCCUGGCUCUGAAAGAGCUCAUCUCUGGGGCCCAGCGCAAAGGCAGCUGUGUGGGCACCAAGUUUCAGGAUGAUAACAGGAUCCACCAGAGUUCAGGGGCCAGUGAUGUGAAGCUGAGGGUCUCUUUGGAGAACCUCUUGGCUGCAGAGCAGGUGGGCCGCUGGUGGAUCGUGGGCUUAUCGUGGAGCAGAGCACCCAUGAUAGGUGACCAGGGCAACAUGACAUCAAAACAGACAACUGCAGAAGGAAAGUUCAGCUUAAAGAUCUUAGACCUGGCCUGGAAACGGAGAAUGAACAGACAUAAGGAGAAAUAUCUUCUGCGUCAUCAUAACCAGCGAGGAUUACCUGGAUGCCUUUUGAGAAGCUGGAUUUCGGGAAUUCCCAAACUAGGAAUGCUGUGGGAGGGCUUGAAGCUGUUCAUCAGUCACUUCCUACUGAAGAUUGCCCAGCCCCAGGGACCAGCUGAGCAAACAGGCCUUCUGUCAGAGCAAGCCGAGGUCACCCCCGAGGCCAAAGAAACCAAACUCAAACUGUAAAACACACACAGACACGUUCGGACUCUGAGAGAAUGCCAGGAGAACAAAAGAAACCUGUUUGGAGAAAAUGGUCUUUAUUACAAAGAACAAACCCAUCAAUUUAAUUUCAAGACUGAAGCAAUGCUGUUUUGUUAUGGGGUUUUUAAACUGUGAUUUUGGAUGUUGCCCCAAGGUCAAUGGAAAUGGCUCCUCUGGGAGGUCUUAGUCAUCAUAUAAGUCAUCUUUUUUCAAAUGAAUUGCAGUAUUGACAACGACAGAGAUGGUUUUUAUGACAUUAUAAAUAUCAACGUUAAUUCGCGGCUUCAUCAAGUGGCCAUGAUAAUGGCCAUGCCGUUGUGGACAAUUCUAUUUCCAGUGUAGUUAACACUGAUGCAUCAAGUUGAAUUCAUUGUCGUAAUGGAAAUUGCCUUUGUCUAUAUAUUUGUACAGAAUGCCAAGUUAUUCUGUUUUUGCCAUGUAGCAAUGGUAUGCAGUCUUCUAUAAUGCAUGUUUCAGAUGAAUAGAGGAUUAAUAAUGUAAACAUUUGAGAUGUGCAUAAGGGGAAAUAAUAAACAUUUGCAUACUGAAUUAAUCUGAUUUGAUGGGUCUUGAUACAUGUGAAUGUGUUUCCUGUAUGUUAUGUCUCUGGAAUUCGUGAAAGCUUAUUUGCAUAAUGUCAAUAAACCGAGCUCACUUUCCGGGCGGACGCAAUGGUUAUAUGAAAUAAUCCUCUCUGGCAGCAGUGUGAAACAAUGUCUCAAAGUUCAUACAGAAUGUACAUGACCGUCAUCACCACUGCAUAUGACAUUUGGAUGAAACUUAUGUAGUUCUGACCUUGUCUACUAAUGUUCUGUAUUAUGUCACGUUUUGUGUGGACCUGAGGAAGAGUAGCUGCUGCUUUCGCAGCUGCUAAUUGGGAUCCUAAUAAAGUACCAGUUGUGUGUGGUCAUACUGA